Long non-coding RNA from Impatiens glandulifera, 490 nucleotides. RefSeq lists it as uncharacterized. The record is from RefSeq and is a predicted model, not a curated record. NCBI's taxonomy places the organism in Eukaryota, Viridiplantae, Streptophyta, Magnoliopsida, Ericales, Balsaminaceae. The transcript is spliced from 4 exons.
CUUCUCCAAAGUCAGUUCAAAUGGCAGAUCAGAUCAGCUCACCGAUGACCAGAUUUCUGAAUUCAAGGAAGCCUACAGUCUCUUCGAUAAAGAUAUAGACGGACAACAUUUCGAUUGAAUGUGAAGCAACAAAAUGCCUUUCUAACGACGUUCUUUAGAACUCGGCCUCGGUAUGGAAUCAAAUGUGCACAGCGUUGUCCAUUAGGGCUUGCCUUGAUCUGCGGGUCGUGGAAGUUGCUACUUUCCAAGGAAACAACGACUGUUUGUACAUUACUUUCCCUUCAAAGGCUUUUGUACUGGCAAUUGAUGCAUACAAUGGAACAAUUCUCUAGCAAAAGAAUGUUGGUCCAUUAAGUUCUGCAGUCUUUGCUCCCAACAGUUGAUUCCAUUGGUUGGAUCACUUUUGGUUUACUAGAUGGACUAUUUUACUCAUUUUCUCCUUGGGAUUCUCAAAACAUUCGAUUAUGUAAUCCAGGUAAGUCUGUAACUU